This 467-nucleotide ribosomal RNA is filed under the name uncultured bacterium. RNAcentral's name for it is "partial 16S ribosomal RNA". It matches the Rfam family "Bacterial small subunit ribosomal RNA", at positions 28 to 506 of the family's 1533-position model. The record is from RNAcentral.
GACGAACGCUGGCGGCGUGCUUAACACAUGCAAGUCGAACGGAAAGGCCCUGCUUUUGUGGGGUGCUCGAGUGGCGAACGGGUGAGUAACACGUGAGUAACCUGCCCUUGACUUUGGGAUAACUUCAGGAAACUGGGGCUAAUACCGGAUAGGAGCUCCUGCUGCAUGGUGGGGGUUGGAAAGUUUCGGCGGUUGGGGAUGGACUCGCGGCUUAUCAGCUUGAUGGUGGGGUAGUGGCUUACCAAGGCUUUGACGGGUAGCCGGCCUGAGAGGGUGACCGGCCACAUUGGGACUGAGGUACGGCCCAGACUCCUACGGGAGGCAGCAGUGGAGAAUAUUGCACAAUGGGCGGAAGCCUGAUGCAGCAACGCCGCGUGCGAGAUGACGGCCUUCGGGUUGUAAACCGCUUUCGCCUGUGACGAAGCGUGAGUGACGGUAAUGGGUAAAGAAGCACCGGCUAACUACGU